UACGUAGGUGGCAAGCGUUGUCCGGAUUUAUUGGGCGUAAAGCGAGCGCAGGCGGUUCCUUAAGUCUGAUGUGAGAGCCCACGGCUCAACCGUGGAAGGUCAUUGGAAACUGGGGAACUUGAGUGCAGAAGAGGAGAGUGGAAUUCCAUGUGUAGCGGUGAAAUGCGUAGAUAUAUGGAGGAACACCAGUGGCGAAGGCGACUCUCUGGUCUGUAACUGACGCUGAGGCUCGAAAGCGUGGGGAGCAAACAGGAUUA
RNAcentral lists this ribosomal RNA (257 nucleotides) under uncultured prokaryote. RNAcentral describes it as "partial 16S ribosomal RNA". It matches the Rfam family "Bacterial small subunit ribosomal RNA", at positions 524 to 780 of the family's 1533-position model. The record is from RNAcentral.